AUUGAACGCUGGCGGCAGGCCUAACACAUGCAAGUCGAGCGGAUGAAAGGGGCUUGCUCCUGGAUUCAGCGGCGGACGGGUGAGUAAUGCGCAGGAAUCUACCUCGUAGUGGGGGAUAACGUCUCGAAAGGGGCGCUAAUACCGCAUACGUUCUGAGGAAGAAAGCAGGGGGACCUUCGGGCCUUGCGCUAUGAGAUGAGCUUGCGUCCGAUUAGCUAGUUGGUGGGGUAAAGGCCUACCAAGGCGACGAUCGGUAACUGGUCUGAGAGGAUGAUCAGUCACACUGGAACUGAGACACGGUCCAGACUCCUACGGGAGGCAGCAGUGGGGAAUAUUGGACAAUGGGGGCAACCCUGAUCCAGCCAUGCCGCGUGUGUGAAGAAGGCC
Molecule: ribosomal RNA, 387 nt
Filed under: uncultured bacterium
Lineage: Bacteria
Description: bacterial SSU rRNA
Rfam family: Bacterial small subunit ribosomal RNA
Source: RNAcentral